UCUCUCACAAAGCUUGGUUAUAAUAUAGACGUAAAUCUGUUCUCUUCAUUCUAGUUACUUCUUUCUGUAUUUUUAAGGAUCUCUUAAACACUUGUGAGCUUAGUACCAAAUCUAGACACCGUAAGAUAAAAAUCAAUAUAGCUGGGGCUGGGAUUUUAGCUCAGCGGCAUAAGCGCCUGCCUUCCAAGCAGGCAGUCAUGAGUUGGAUCCUGGUACCGGUAAAAACGAAAAAGACCAAAAAAAAUCAAUAUAGCUACGUGUUCUAUGAUCUUUUCUCUCUUAUUCCUUUGUUGGCAACCAAAAGUAAGUACUAAUCUCUAUUUUAAUGUUGGCUGUGUGUGCACAAGCAAGUAUGCUGCAUAGAUAUGUAUAUAGUUUUAUGUUGAACUUUCUUAAAGUGUAUCAUUAUAUGGGUAGUUUUCUGAGUUUUAAAUUUAAAUAUGUCAAUAUUAUGCUAUUAAUAUUUGGCCAUGUUGUUGAAUAUACCUGAGGUCAAUUCAUCUUUACUAUUGUGUCAGUUCUAUUUUGGUAAAUAUGCUCCAAUACUUUUAUCCAAUAGGCAUUUAAGACAUUUGGUAUUAUGAAGAUCACCUCUAUAAAAAAAUGAUUGUUGGUGCAUAACUGCAUUAAUAUUCCAUAAGUGUAUUAUCAGUUGUGGAAUUUCCGGUUCCAAGCUCAUGAAACUGUAUAUUUUUCAGAUGUUUAUAUUCAAUAUCAAAGCAUAUCACGGGGGAAAGGAAUAAAUGGUGACGAGAACAGUGAUAGCACAUAUGAAAAUAACUGGAAUUGAAUUUGUCUCUUAUGAAAUAAACACAAAAACCAAAUGUCUGAAACACUUCAAGUAAAACAAGCACCGAUAAAAUAUAAAGAAGAUUUGCAUUUUGGACCAAUUUGGAGGAAAAGGGUUCACAUCACAACCCAUCUCCCCAUAGUGAACAUACAAUAAUGAAAAUGAUUUUGUAAAACAAUUGUUUCCUAGAUUUUAGGUACUAGGUAAAGAGAGGUAAUGAUGCCAGACAGAGAGGAAUGGAAAAUAAAGUCAGUGUUACAAAUAAAGUCAGUCUGGUUCUCCAGCAUACUUCCUGGAGGAACUUUCCAGAAAAAGGCAUGAAGAGGGGAAGCAGAGGCAGGUCCCAUUGUGUUGAGGAGAAGAACCAAGCAGGCAGGGUUCAUGGAGCAGAGAACCAGAGGACAGUGCACUAGAGUACCAGAGUACCAGAGGAAAAAGGGCCUGAGCAUCAGCAAAGUGAACCCUUUGAUAACAUCACCAAGAAACCCAUUUCCAGAACAAUAUCCAAUGUUUUCAGAUGAGAGAACAAACCAAGACCUUCAAAAGACUGAGGAAGGGGGAAGGUAACAGAGACUACCCCACUCAUAACAGGAAAUUGGUAGCUCUGUUAUUCCCACUGGAAAAAUAAUGCUUCAUAACAUGUUGGCUCAGUGGUUAUAAUUAGCUCUCCAUAGAAUUGUUCUGAUCCCAUCAAACAAACAUGAUGAGCAAAAUCUGAAAAUGUCAAACUAUUUUUGAACCUUGCUACAUGCCCAAAUAAAAUACAAGAAUAUUUUUAGGAAUACAAAAUCAUCCUGCAUCUAUCAUGGCAAAAUUCUCAGUUUGACAUUCAGUAAAAAUUACCAAGAAUGCAAUAAAGCAAGAAAAUACAAACCAUAAUGAAUCUAAAGGAAAGAUUACUUGAUCAAAACUUCUAUGAAUUUAGAAUUAUCAUAAAGUUACAUUAAAAACUCAUUUUCACCUACAUUCCAUAUAGUUAAAAAGCUAAGUGAAGGAAAGAAGUAUAUGAAAAAAGAUCCAAGUGAAAAUUUUAGAAAUGGAAGCUACAAGGUAUAAGAAAAAAAAAUACAUUGGAUGAGAAUAUAUUACAGUAGAUUAGAAGGUUGUAGAUAGAAAAACAAAAUCAGUGAAGCGAAAGAUGAUGCAAUGUACACUGUAUUGAAUGAAUGAAAUUCAGAGAAAAUAACUUGCAACACUCAUAGCAGCUGGAGCCAGGGCACAACUUCAGUCAGCUCAAUACCUGUGAGUUCCACCAUGAGAGGAGAGAAAGGCAGAGUAAAAUAAAGUAUUUGAGUAAAUCUGGACUCAAAAAUUACAGCUUUGAUGGAAGCAUAAACCAAGAAGCUAGGUGAACCCUAGCCCAAGUACCAUGAAGAAAACUACUACAAAACACAAAAUAUUCACGCUGAUCAAAAAGUAGUGAUAAAGAGGACAUUUUAGGAACAGCCAAAGGAAAAAAGUCAUGUUAUAAGUACCUGAACAAAGAUGAGGAGAGUUGUUCCUUAGGAAGAAUCCAAGCCACUUUGGAAGAUUAUUUUAAUUUUUACCUCGAAAAUACCAAUAAACUGUAAAAAUAUCUUUCCCAACUGAAAGUGUGAAAUAAUUUUUUAAGCAAAACCCCUGUAAGUACAAAAGACUGUGUAAUUUGAUUACGUUUUUGAUUUUAAAGGGAAUAAAACAGUACAUAAAACAAAACAAAACAAUGAUAGGACAGUAGGAAAUCCUCAAUUGUUACUAAAUUGUAUAUUGUUAUCCUCUAAAUACUUGCUCAGACUGCAGUCCCAGGCUUGCAAAGUCAUCAAACAACACAUAUAUCACACAAGAACUUCUCAAUGCUCUGAAAUGAUAUCAGUGUGAAAAUAAACAGAUGAAUAUUUCCUUGAUUUAUCACUGAUAAUACCUAUAAAAGAGUGACAAGUCCAAUAACAAAUUUCCCAUUUUUGAAGCUCAAGUUUCUGUAGAGUAUUUCCUAUUAAUAGUAAUUAAAAUUCCCUAGAGAAAUGACUAAUACCAGUCAACGGAACAGGAAAUGUUUGAAGAUGAUUCUUAAAGACACUGCCAUCCAUGACAACAAAGAAACUAGGGAAGAACAGUAGGACUAUGUCUAAAAGACACCAAGGAGCACACCUAGACAAACUACUGUGGCCAAAAGUGAUGCAAUUUGAGCAUCACUAAUGGAUUAUAUCUGUCUUUGGAUUUAAAAUACAUGAAAUAUGUUUAUGUCAUUGAGUUGAUAAUGAUGUUCAAAAAACAAUUGGAAAAUCUUUAGAAGGUACUAAGGUACUAAGAAACAUUAUUUUUAAAAUAGUUUCAAAAGAGGAAAAAUGAAUACAUUUUCCUUUUGGAUGUCUAUAUCUAAGGGCAACAAAUUGCUAAUGAGUGGUUUCUCUUUAUGAUGGUAUUACACUGACACAGAAAGAAAUAAUGAAAGAAUUGGAAAAUUAGCAAUACUUAAUGGAAUAAUAGAUUAUAUGCAGUAAACAUCAAUGGCUAAUAAAACCAUAAAAGUGGUAAUCUAUUUUGAUGAAAUUAUGCAAUAACUCCUUAUGUGGCAGAAAGAGUUGAUAUUCUCAAUUCAUCAAAAUCCUACAUAUAAAGCCUAAUAAUGUGUCUUAGUGGUAGUGUACCUGCCUAGAAUAUGUGAGGACCUGGAUUCAAUCUCUCAUGCUCUCACCCAAAAACAAUUUAUUGAUGUAAUAACCAAUUACAGAAAAAAAGACAUUAUAAAACAAUGCCCCAUAGAGACUCUGUGGAAUAAAAAUGAAACUGUCAACAAAAAUAAUGCAAAGGAAAGAAAAUAAACAGUGGAAAAUCUAUUAAUUAAAAGAUACUUCCAGAAAUCUCAAUCAAUUAUAGUGAAGGCACUUGCGUAGACCUAUUUCCAAAAAAUUGAAAAAUUAAAUUAUUGAAAAUACAUGAAUUACAGUUGUUUUUGGAACUAAUAAAUUGUUAUUAAAUGUGUAGGUAAGAAAAUGGUAUUGCAUGGUAAGCCACUCAAACCAUGCAGGGUCCAGAAAGACAAGUCAGUGCCUCAUGAGAAUCAGCCAUGCUGGGACUGGGAGGAGCCAAACAAGGAGCCAACCAGUCAGCCUUUCUGGUGAGAAGACCUUGAUCUUUGGAUGAUAUAAUGCAUGAUAGUAGAACUCCCAUCAGCAUGGAUCUGUGGAACUUUUUAUAGCCAAGAAUCGCCUUGUCAAAAUAUAACAUGAUCAAAAUAUAGCAUAUUUAAUUUAUGUAGUUAGUUUACAGAAUUACUUGUUAUUUCAGUUUAUCUGUAAUUUCACUUCAGUGAUUGUGACUAGAGGUAAAAUUUCGGAGUCAAAUGGCUUUGUAUCUAUCCUACUACAUAUACAAAAUGUGUACUUGGGCUAGUUUAUUCAUUCAAUAAAAUUCUCAUGUAGAACAUUUA
Molecule: long non-coding RNA, 4199 nt
Organism: Cavia porcellus (domestic guinea pig)
Lineage: Eukaryota; Metazoa; Chordata; Mammalia; Rodentia; Caviidae
Exons: 2
Source: RefSeq, a predicted model, not a curated record